This 582-nucleotide non-coding RNA is filed under the name Pongo abelii (Sumatran orangutan). The record is from RNAcentral. Lineage: Eukaryota; Metazoa; Chordata; Mammalia; Primates; Hominidae.
UGCCUGGAGUGAAGAUUCUGCCCAUUGGUCAAGAGACCUCCCUCUCAGAUGCUGGCUCUGCCCCUGCCUUUGGGGGUCGACCCUUGUACUCGCAGGACCUUAGGUGACUCUGUAAGUAUAGUAAAACGCAGUUAAUCUGAUGUUAUCAUUCAAUCUUUUUUAAAAAGUGGAGCAACCAGUUGACAGGACUUUGUCAAAGGAAAAAUUUCUGCAUGUGCACACACAGAUCUUGGAAGUUUAUUCAUCUCAGCAGAGGCAGACAGGAGCAUCAACAGCCUUGGGGACAGCAGCAGUGGUGGCAGGGCAAAAUAAAACUUAUAUGAAACUGCAAUCACUAACGUGUGAAAAUGGAAGAUUCAGGAAGUGUUUCGUAUCUGAAAUAUGAACCAAGGUGGAAUCAACAUGCAUCCAAACAGGACUAAAUGUGCAAACCCAAGGCAAGCUUAAAACUAUAAAGUAAAUAUUUAGCAAUUUUGCAAAUUGGUCAUUUGGAGACUAGCUUUUAGCAAAUUCAUCAUAUGUUUAAUUGUUUUCCACCAAGGCUGCCUUGGGUGACUAUGUUCAAGCAACCAAAUUGCUCUC